GGAUUGUGGCUUAGUGGUAGAGUGCUUGUCUCGCACGUGUGAGGCACUGGGUUCAAUCCUCAGCACCA
This 68-nucleotide transfer RNA is filed under the name Marmota monax (woodchuck). RNAcentral describes it as "tRNA.Ala". Lineage: Eukaryota; Metazoa; Chordata; Mammalia; Rodentia; Sciuridae. The record is from RNAcentral.